UGGAAGGUGGCUCAGUGGUAGAGCGCUUGCCUUGCAUGCAUGAGGCCUGGGGCCUUGCAU
Molecule: transfer RNA, 60 nt
Filed under: Dipodomys ordii (Ord's kangaroo rat)
Lineage: Eukaryota; Metazoa; Chordata; Mammalia; Rodentia; Heteromyidae
Rfam family: tRNA
About the family: Transfer RNA (tRNA) molecules are approximately 80 nucleotides in length. Their secondary structure includes four short double-helical elements and three loops (D, anti-codon, and T loops). Further hydrogen bonds mediate the characteristic L-shaped molecular structure. tRNAs have two regions of fundamental functional importance: the anti-codon, which is responsible for specific mRNA codon recognition, and the 3' end, to which the tRNAs corresponding amino acid is attached (by aminoacyl-tRNA synthetases). tRNAs cope with the degeneracy of the genetic code in two manners: having more than one tRNA (with a specific anti-codon) for a particular amino acid; and 'wobble' base-pairing, i.e. permitting non-standard base-pairing at the 3rd anti-codon position.
Source: Rfam by way of RNAcentral